Molecule: ribosomal RNA, 588 nt
Filed under: uncultured Ralstonia sp.
Lineage: Bacteria; Pseudomonadati; Pseudomonadota; Betaproteobacteria; Burkholderiales; Burkholderiaceae
Description: bacterial SSU rRNA
Rfam family: Bacterial small subunit ribosomal RNA
Source: RNAcentral
ACUCCUACGGGAGGCAGCAGUGGGGAAUUUUGGACAAUGGGGGCAACCCUGAUCCAGCAAUGCCGCGUGUGUGAAGAAGGCCAUCGGGUUGUAAAGCACUUUUGUCCGGAAAGAAAUCACACUUACUAAUAUUAGGUGUGGAUGACGGUACCGGAAGAAUAAGGACCGGCUAACUACGUGCCAGCAGCCGCGGUAAUACGUAGGGUCCAAGCGUUAAUCGGAAUUACUGGGCGUAAAGCGUGCGCAGGCGGUUGUGCAAGACCGAUGUGAAAUCCCCGGGCUUAACCUGGGAAUUGCAUUGGUGACUGCACGGCUAGAGUGUGUCAGAGGGGGGUAGAAUUCCACGUGUAGCAGUGAAAUGCGUAGAGAUGUGGAGGAAUACCGAUGGCGAAGGCAGCCCCCUGGGAUAACACUGACGCUCAUGCACGAAAGCGUGGGGAGCAAACAGGAUUAGAUACCCUGGUAGUCCACGCCCUAAACGAUGUCRACUAGUUGUUGGGGAUUCAUUUCCUUAGUAACGUAGCUMACGCGUGAAGUUGACCGCCUGGGGAGUACGGUCGCAAGAUUAAAACUCAAAUGAAUUGACGG